GCGAACGCUGGCGGCAGGCCUAACCCAUGCCAGUCGAACGAACCUUUCGGGGUUAGUGGCGGACGGGUGAGUCACACGUGGGAACGUGCCUUUAGGUUCGGAAUAACUCAGGGAAACUUGUGCUAAUACCGAAUGUGCCCUUCGGGGGAAAGAUUUAUCGCCUUUAGAGCGGCCCGCGUCUGAUUAGCUAGUUGGUUGAGGUAAUGGCUCACCAAGGCGACGAUCAGUAGCUGGUCUGAGAGGAUGAUCAGCCACAUUGGGACUGAGACACGGCCCAAACUCCUACGGGAGGCAGCAGUGGGGAAUCUUGCGCAAUGGGCGAAAGCCUGACGCAGCCAUGCCGCGUGAAUGAUGAAGGUCUUAGGAUUGUAAAAUUCUUUCACCGGGGACGAUAAUGACGGUACCCGGAGAAGAAGCCCCGGCUAACUUCGUG
This 433-nucleotide ribosomal RNA is filed under the name uncultured bacterium. Its description in RNAcentral is "partial 16S ribosomal RNA". It matches the Rfam family "Bacterial small subunit ribosomal RNA", at positions 29 to 507 of the family's 1533-position model. The record is from RNAcentral.